This 422-nucleotide ribosomal RNA is filed under the name uncultured archaeon. Its description in RNAcentral is "partial 16S ribosomal RNA". It matches the Rfam family "Archaeal small subunit ribosomal RNA", at positions 323 to 746 of the family's 1478-position model. The record is from RNAcentral.
CUACGGGGGGCAGCAGGCGCGAAACCUCUACAAUGCACGAAAGUGUGAUAGGGGAAUCCUAAGUGCUUGUGCUCUGCACAGGCUUUUUUUAAGGGUAAAUACCUUGAAGAAUAAGUGGUGGGUAAGACUGGUGCCAGCCGCCGCGGUAACACUAGCGCCACGAGUGGCAGCCGCGUUUAUUGGGCCUAAAGCGUCCGUAGCAGGUUUGGCAAAUCUCUUGUGAAAUCGCAGGGCUUAACCUUGCGGACUGCAGGAGACACUACCAAACUCGAGACCGGGAGGAGUGAGAAGUAUUUCUGGGGGAUCGGUAAAAUGAAUUAAUCCCAGAAGGACUACCUAUGGCGAAGGCAUCUCACCAGAACGGGUCUGACUGUCAGGGACGAAAGCUAGGGGAGCGAUCCGGAUUAGAUACCCGGGUAGUC